CUGUACAGCCUCCUAGCUUUCC
This 22-nucleotide microRNA is filed under the name Danio rerio (zebrafish). RNAcentral's name for it is "Dre-Let-7-P1d2_3p* (star (passenger))". RNAcentral also lists the same sequence under 31 other names. The record is from RNAcentral. Lineage: Eukaryota; Metazoa; Chordata; Actinopteri; Cypriniformes; Danionidae.